AANGGCACCAAGUUCGCGNGGACAAGCAAANCCCUAAACCGUGGCUCAGUUCAGAUCGUAGGCUGCAACUCGCCUACGUGAAGGAGGAAUCGCUAGUAAUCCGCAGGUCAGCAUACUGCGGUGAAUACGUUCCCGGGCCUUGUACACACCGCCCGUCACACCAUGGAAUUGGCCACGCCCGAAGCCGUUACUCCAACCCUUGUGGAGGAGGACGUCGAAGGUGGGGCUGAUGACUGGGGUGAAGUCGUAACAAGGUAUCCGUACCGGAAGGUGCGGAUGGAUCACCUCCUAACAGGGAGACAACACAAUGAUUUUGAUGCCUGAGUAUUUUAUUCUUAGGCCGAAAUCCUGUCACCUUAGGUCGAUCGGUACCUCAGAUUUGAAAUCAAGAUGAUGCAGCAAUGUGUUGUGCUUGAUGGAGAUUUUCAGUUCCUAAACUUUGUCUAGGUCACACCCCAAAAGGGAUGAGACUCCUGGGCCAUUAGCUCAGGUGGUUAGAGCGCACCCCUGAUAAGGGUGAGGUCCCUGGUUCAAGUCCAGGAUGGCCCAUUCGGUGUUGGGGGUUUAGCUCAGUUGGUAGAGCGCCUGCUUUGCAAGCAGGAUGUCAGGAGUUCGAGUCUCCUAACCUCCACUGACCGAACUUUAUCCCCAUCUYCCACGUUAUGRGAGUUGARCUCGAUUGGAAGUGUGAUUUAAAUGUGUCCGCUGGAUGACCCCAAGCUUCCUGUCAUUCCAAGUUUUUAAGUAAAAAGCUUUGAUUUGGUUGAUAAGAUGCUGGGCUCGGAUCAAAUUAUCAAGCAAUUGAUGAUUUGAUUUGAAGUUCUAGCAGAACCUUGACAACUGCAUAGGUGAAGUCUGGAAAAACAAAGCAUCUUACAGAUGCAUUGUUUUGAGUCUGAUCUUCUGAAAGGAAGAUUAGAACCAGAACAAUGAAAAUUCUUUUGAGCAAGAGCCGAGACUCUUGAAUGUUCUUUGAUUCGUGUCGAGCGAAUCAGAGUUUGAUCUUGUUUUUAGCGAUAAAAACUUGAGAAUCUGCUUUCAACGGCGGUAAGCGUUCAAGAGGUUAAUUGGUCAAGCUACAAAGGGCUCACGGCGGAUACCUUGGCACACAGAGGCGAUGAAGGACGUGGUUACCUGCGAUAAGUCUCGGGGAGCUGGAAGCACGCUUUGAUCCGGGAAUUUCCGAAUGGGGCAACCCUUAAUACGGCCAGCUGAAUCCAUAGGCUGGCACGAGCCAACCCAGCGAACUGAAACAUCUNG
RNAcentral lists this unclassified non-coding RNA (1260 nucleotides) under uncultured Synechococcus sp. Its description in RNAcentral is "partial contains 16S ribosomal RNA, 16S-23S ribosomal RNA intergenic spacer, tRNA-Ile, tRNA-Ala, and 23S ribosomal RNA". The stretch from base 1 to 292 matches the Rfam family "Bacterial small subunit ribosomal RNA", at positions 1242 to 1533 of the family's 1533-position model. The record is from RNAcentral. Lineage: Bacteria; Bacillati; Cyanobacteriota; Cyanophyceae; Synechococcales; Synechococcaceae.